UACGUAGGGUGCAAGCGUUAAUCGGAAUACUGGGCGUAAAGCGUGCGCAGGCGGUUAUGUAAGACAGGUGUGAAAUCCCCGGGCUUAACCUGGGAACUGCAUUUGUGACUGCAUAGCUAGAGUACGGUAGAGGGGGAUGGAAUUCCGCGUGUAGCAGUGAAAUGCGUAGAUAUGCGGAGGAACACCGAUGGCGAAGGCAAUCCCCUGGACCUGUACUGACGCUCAUGCACGAAAGCGUGGGGAGCAAACAGG
Molecule: ribosomal RNA, 252 nt
Filed under: uncultured bacterium
Lineage: Bacteria
Description: partial 16S ribosomal RNA
Rfam family: Bacterial small subunit ribosomal RNA
Source: RNAcentral